This 1232-nucleotide long non-coding RNA is filed under the name Bemisia tabaci. RNAcentral's name for it is "lncRNA ENSSSA3NGG012617". Lineage: Eukaryota; Metazoa; Arthropoda; Insecta; Hemiptera; Aleyrodidae. The record is from RNAcentral.
UGUCAAGAAUCAGUUCAAAGCUCUAUUUAUGCAUCUAAUGGUGUGAUUCUUUACAUAAUAUUUUAAAAGAAAUGCUGGAACUGGGAAAUCUGUUUGAUUUACAAUACCUCGGGUAGAUGAAGGUGAAUUUCAGUCGUCAGCAUAAAUAAGAUGACAAUCCAAGAAAAGUUAUGUCCAAAUUACAAUUUGGACUUAAAUGUUUAAUCAUUUGUGCGAUUAAUUUCAAACCUAUUCGAUUAUUAUCAGCUCACCAAAAUAAGUCAAGUUUGCAAAAUGAGCGGGGUCAGCAGUCACUGUCAUCAUCUGAUGGUACAUCUUUUCAAAACAUCCGCCAUGACCCCUCAUUCGUUGACAAGACUGGCUUCAUCAAGGUCUUUCUGGAGCAGUCGGACGAACAUGUUUACACCAUGGCCCCAGCCGGGUUCGGCAAGAGUCACCUGAUAGAUAUGCUCGACCUCUUCUUAGCUUCCCCAACCGUCCACAACGCAUCCACUCAUGCACCAUCCACCCAGGAUUACAAUCUCUUCAAUGGAACCGAAAUUCAUCGAAAUACCGCGUUUUUCAACCGCCACGUCCAGCAGUACCAGGUCAUCCGCAUGGACUGCCACCCCUACCGCCAGGUGAAGGACUUCGAAUCCUUCAGACGCAUCCACUGCCACGCCAUCUGCCGGCUGAUGUCCAGACACACUUACCUCCGAAACACGAAAUCCAACUUCUCAUGGCUUCAAUACAUGGACAAUGAUGAGAAGUGUUCGACUUACUGUGCCUUCAACUUCGACCAGAUCGACUACGCAGGUCGCGACCUCUCGCGGCAACUUGCGGAAGCCUCGCCAACAAAACCAGUUGUCCUUCUCGUUGACGCGUACGACUCUGUAUUCCACGCGAUGGUUGAUCACGACGUCGAUGUCGCUAGAGAAGUUUUAAACAAGUACCUGAAUUUUGUGUCGCGGAUCGUGAAAUGGAGCAACUGCACGCGGUCACUCCUACUGGGGACUUUGAACUUCGGGGGCGUUCAUCCGCAUCUGAUUAAUAACGUCAAGUUCGUCAAUUUCAACUUCCAGUUAUCUUAUGCUCCUUAUUUUGGCCUCACAAAAUCAGAGGUUGAGCGUUUACUUUCGAAAUUCAAGCAUACUGCAGCCCUUGAAAGGGUCACGGAUUGCUACGACGGUACUCUUCCAGGGAUGCGCCCAAACUCGCCAUCUACAACCCUUUCUCAGUUUUGGCGUUUUUGA